Molecule: ribosomal RNA, 480 nt
Filed under: uncultured bacterium
Lineage: Bacteria
Description: partial 16S ribosomal RNA
Rfam family: Bacterial small subunit ribosomal RNA
Source: RNAcentral
GAUGAACGCUAGCGGCAGGCCUAACACAUGCAAGUCGAGGGAGAGGUUACCUUCGGGUAACCAAAACCGGCGCACGGGUGCGUAACGCGUAUACAAUCUGCCUUUCACAUAGGGAUAGCCCGAAGAAAUUUGGAUUAAUACCUAAUGGUAUAUAAGAGCGGCAUCGUUUUUAUAUUAAAGCUACGGUGGUGAAAGAUGAGUAUGCGUUCUAUUAGCUAGUUGGAGAGGUAACGGCUCCCCAAGGCGACGAUAGAUAGGGGUUCUGAGAGGGAUGUCCCCCACACUGGUACUGAGAUACGGACCAGACUCCUACGGGAGGCAGCAGUGAGGAAUAUUGGACAAUGGUCGGAAGACUGAUCCAGCCAUGCCGCGUGCAGGAUGAAGGUCCUAUGGAUGGUAAACUGCUUUUGUAAGGGAAGAAUAAGGAGUACGUGUACUUUGAUGACGGUACCUUACGAAUAAGCAUCGGCUAACUCCGUG